GCUGGGCGGGGUGCUAUACUGCAGUCGAACGCUUCUUUUUCCACCGGAGCUUGCUCCACCGGAAAAAGAGGAGUGGCGAACGGGUGAGUAACACGUGGGUAACCUGCCCAUCAGAAGGGGAUAACACUUGGAAACAGGUGCUAAUACCGUAUAACAAUCAAAACCGCAUGGUUUUGAUUUGAAAGGCGCUUUCGGGUGUCGCUGAUGGAUGGACCCGCGGUGCAUUAGCUAGUUGGUGAGGUAACGGCUCACCAAGGCCACGAUGCAUAGCCGACCUGAGAGGGUGAUCGGCCACAUUGGGACUGAGACACGGCCCAAACUCCUACGGGAGGCAGCAGUAGGGAAUCUUCGGCAAUGGACGAAAGUCUGACCGAGCAACGCCGCGUGAGUGAAGAAGGUUUUCGGAUCGUAAAACUCUGUUGUUAGAGAAGAACAAGGAUGAGAGUAACUGUUCAUCCCUUGACGGUAUCUAACCAGAAAGCCACGGCUAACUACGUGCCAGCAGCCGCGGUAAUACGUAGGUGGCAAGCGUUGUCCGGAUUUAUUGGGCGUAAAGCGAGCGCAGGCGGUUUCUUAAGUCUGAUGUGAAAGCCCCCGGCU
Molecule: ribosomal RNA, 600 nt
Filed under: Enterococcus faecium
Lineage: Bacteria; Bacillati; Bacillota; Bacilli; Lactobacillales; Enterococcaceae
Description: bacterial SSU rRNA
Rfam family: Bacterial small subunit ribosomal RNA
Source: RNAcentral